This 468-nucleotide ribosomal RNA is filed under the name uncultured bacterium. RNAcentral's name for it is "partial 16S ribosomal RNA". It matches the Rfam family "Bacterial small subunit ribosomal RNA", at positions 28 to 507 of the family's 1533-position model. The record is from RNAcentral.
GACGAACGCUGGCGGCGUGCUUAACACAUGCAAGUCGAGCGGAAAGGCCCUGCUUUUGUGGGGUGCUCGAGUGGCGAAGGGGUGAGUAACACGUGAGUAACCUGCCCCUGACUUUGGGAUAACUUCAGGAAAAUGGGGCUAUUACCGGAUAGGAUCUCCUGCUGCAUGGUGGGGGUUGGAAAGUUUCGGCGGUUGGGGAUGGACUCGCUGCUUAUCAGCUUGUUGGUGGGGUAGUGGAUUACCAAGGCUUUGACGGGUAGCCGACCUGAGAGGGGGACCGGCCCCACUACGCCUGAGCUACGGCCCAGACUAGACUCGGAGGCAACGGAGGAGAGUAUUACACAGCGGGCGGGAGCAAGGUCUGACGACGCCGCGUGCGGGAAAUCGUGAUUGGGGUAGGAAACCGAUUUCGCCUGAGACGGGGCGUGAGUGACGGUACUGGGUAAAGAAGCACCGGCUAACUACGUG